GGACAACGAGAAUUCCCCUGUCUCUAUAAAGCCAAUGAAAAUUAAUCUUCAGGUGAAGAAGCCUGAAUCUCAUUAAAAGACAAAAAGACCCUAUUGAGCUUACAUUCAAUCUCUAAAAUAUUAAAAUAAAAUAAAACUACCCUUUUUACAAGAAUUUUGCUGGGGCGGCAAAGGAACAACCAAAAAUUCCUUUUCUCAAAGACUUAUAAGUCUAUUAACUGAUCCGUAUUAACGAUUAACAAAACUAGUUACCAUAGGGAUAACAGGCUAAUUUUUCUCUAAAGCUCACAUUAACAGAAAAGAUUGGCACCUCGAUGUUGGCUUAGGAUAUCCUAAGGGCGCAGAAGCCUUUUAAGGUGGGUUUGUUC
This 368-nucleotide ribosomal RNA is filed under the name Sternaspis sendalli. Its description in RNAcentral is "partial 16S ribosomal RNA". It matches the Rfam family "Bacterial large subunit ribosomal RNA", at positions 1999 to 2582 of the family's 2925-position model. The record is from RNAcentral. Lineage: Eukaryota; Metazoa; Annelida; Polychaeta; Terebellida; Sternaspidae.